AGUCGAACGCAUCCUUCGGGGUGAGUGGCAGACGGGUGAGUAACGCGUGGGAACGUGCCCUUCAGUUCGGGAUAACCCAGGGAAACUUGGGCUAAUACCGGAUACGUGCGAGAGCAGAAAGAUUAAUCGCUGAAGGAUCGGCCCGCGUCUGAUUAGCUAGUUGGUGGGGUAAUGGCCCACCAAGGCGACGAUCAGUAGCUGGUCUGAGAGGAUGAUCAGCCACAUUGGGACUGAGACACGGCCCAAACUCCUACGGGAGGCAGCAGUGGGGAAUAUUGGACAAUGGGCGCAAGCCUGAUCCAGCCAUGCCGCGUGAGUGAUGAAGGCCUUAGGGUUGUAAAGCUCUUUCGUCCGGGACGAUAAUGACGGUACCGGAAGAAGAAGCCCCGGCUAACUUCGUGCCAGCAGCCGCGGUAAUACGAAGGGGGCUAGCGUUGUUCGGAAUCACUGGGCGUAAAGGGCGCGUAGGCGGCUUUAUAAGUCGGGGGUGAAAGCCUGUGGCUCAACCACAGAAUUGCCUUCGAUACUGUAGAGCUUGAGACCGGAAGAGGUAAGUGGAACUGCGAGUGUAGAGGUGAAAUUCGUAGAUAUUCGCAAGAACACCAGUGGCGAAGGCGGCUUACUGGUCCGGUUCUGACGCUGAGGCGCGAAAGCGUGGGGAGCAAACAGGAUUA
RNAcentral lists this ribosomal RNA (674 nucleotides) under uncultured Microvirga sp. RNAcentral's name for it is "bacterial SSU rRNA". It matches the Rfam family "Bacterial small subunit ribosomal RNA", at positions 60 to 780 of the family's 1533-position model. Lineage: Bacteria; Pseudomonadati; Pseudomonadota; Alphaproteobacteria; Hyphomicrobiales; Methylobacteriaceae. The record is from RNAcentral.